RNAcentral lists this ribosomal RNA (407 nucleotides) under Verrucomicrobiota bacterium. RNAcentral's name for it is "Verrucomicrobia bacterium partial 16S ribosomal RNA". It matches the Rfam family "Bacterial small subunit ribosomal RNA", at positions 355 to 776 of the family's 1533-position model. Lineage: Bacteria; Pseudomonadati; Verrucomicrobiota. The record is from RNAcentral.
UGGGGAAUAUUGGACAAUGGAGGAAACUCUGAUCCAGCAAUUCUGUGUGUGUGAAGAAGGUUUUAGGACUGUAAAACACUUUUAGUAGGGAAGAAAAAAAUGACGGUACCUACAGAAGAAGCAACGGCUAAAUACGUGCCAGCAGCCGUGGUAAUACGUAUGUUGCGAGCGUUAUCCGGAAUUAUUGGGCUUAAAGGGCAUCUAGGCGGUAAGACAAGUUGAAGGUGAAAACCUGUGGCUCAACCAUAGGCUUGCCUACAAAACUGUUGAACUAGAGUACUGGAAAGGUGGGUGGAACUACACGAGUAGAGGUGAAAUUCGUAGAUAUGUGUAGGAAUGCCGAUGAUGAAGAUAACUCACUGGACAGAAACUGACGCUGAAGUGCGAAAGCUAGGGGAGCAAACAGG